UACGUAGGGUGCGAGCGUUAAUCGGAAUUACUGGGCGUAAAGCGUGCGCAGGCGGUUCGCUGUGUCCUGUGUGAAAGCCCCGGGCUUAACCUGGGAAUGGCAUGAGAAACUGCCGGGCUUGAGUAUGGGAGAGGUGAGUGGAAUUCCUGGUGUAGCGGUGAAAUGCGUAGAUAUCAGGAGGAACACCUGUGGCGAAAGCGGCUCACUGGACCAUAACUGACGCUGAUGCACGAAAGCUAGGGGAGCAAACAGG
RNAcentral lists this ribosomal RNA (253 nucleotides) under uncultured bacterium. RNAcentral describes it as "partial 16S ribosomal RNA". It matches the Rfam family "Bacterial small subunit ribosomal RNA", at positions 524 to 776 of the family's 1533-position model. The record is from RNAcentral.